Molecule: ribosomal RNA, 305 nt
Filed under: uncultured bacterium
Lineage: Bacteria
Description: bacterial SSU rRNA
Rfam family: Bacterial small subunit ribosomal RNA
Source: RNAcentral
UGUGACCUACGGGGGGCAGCAGUGGGGAAUAUUGCACAAUGGGGGGAACCCUGAUGCAGCAAUGCCGCGUGGGUGAAGAAGCACUCCGGUGCGUAAAGCCCUGUCAGCAGGGAAGAAAAUGACAGUACCUGACCAAGAAGCCCCGGCUAACUACGCGCCAGCAGCCGCGGUAAUACGUAGGGGGCAAGCGUUAUCCGGAUUUACUGGGUGUAAAGGGAGCGCAGGCGGCGUGGCAAGUCAGAUGUGAAGGCCCGGGGCCCAACCCCGGGAGUGCAUUUGAAACUGCCAUGCUGGAGUGCCGGAGG